This 433-nucleotide ribosomal RNA is filed under the name uncultured bacterium. RNAcentral describes it as "partial 16S ribosomal RNA". It matches the Rfam family "Bacterial small subunit ribosomal RNA", at positions 29 to 507 of the family's 1533-position model. The record is from RNAcentral.
AACGAACGCUGGCGGCAUGCCUAACACAUGCAAGUCGAACGAGACCUUCGGGUCUAGUUGCGCACGGGUGCGUAACGCGUGGGAACCUGCCCUUAGGUUCGGAAUAACUCCCCGAAAGGGGUGCUAAUACCGGAUAAUGUCUUCGGACCAAAGAUUUAUCGCCAUUGGAUGGGCCCGCGUUGGAUUAGCUAGUUGGUAGGGUAAAAGCCUACCAAGGCGACGAUGCAUAGCUGGUCUGAGAGGAUGAUCCGCCACACUGGGACUGAGACACGGCCCAGACUCGUACGGGAGGGAGCAGUGGAGAAUAUUGGAGAAGGGGCGAAAGCGUGAUCCAGCCAUGCCGCGUGAGUGAUGAAGGCCGUAGGGUUGUAAAGCUCUUUUACCCGGGAUGAUAAUGACAGUACCGGGAGAAUAAGCUCCGGCUAACUCCGUG